This 460-nucleotide ribosomal RNA is filed under the name uncultured bacterium. Its description in RNAcentral is "partial 16S ribosomal RNA". It matches the Rfam family "Bacterial small subunit ribosomal RNA", at positions 338 to 795 of the family's 1533-position model. The record is from RNAcentral.
CCUACGGGGGGCAGCAGUGAGGAAUAUUGGUCAAUGGACGAGAGUCUGAACCAGCCAAGUAGCGUGAAGGAUGACUGCCCUAUGGGUUGUAAACUUCUUUUAUAUGGGAAUAAAAUGUUCCACGUGUGGGAUUUUGUAUGUACCAUAUGAAUAAGGAUCGGCUAACUCCGUGCCAGCAGCCGCGGUAAUACGGAGGAUCCGAGCGUUAUCCGGAUUUAUUGGGUUUAAAGGGAGCGUAGGUGGAUUGUUAAGUCAUUUGUGAAAGUUUGCGGCUCAACCGUAAAAUUGCAGUUGAAACUGGCAGGCUUGAGUACAGUAGAGGUGGGCGGAAUUCGUGGUGUAGCGGUGAAAUGCUUAGAUAUCACGAAGAACUCCGAUGGCGAAGGCAGCUCACUGGACUGCAACUGACACUGAGGCUCGAAAGUGUGGGUAUCAAACAGGAUUAGAUACCCUAGUAGUC